This 497-nucleotide ribosomal RNA is filed under the name uncultured bacterium. RNAcentral's name for it is "partial 16S ribosomal RNA". It matches the Rfam family "Bacterial small subunit ribosomal RNA", at positions 28 to 507 of the family's 1533-position model. The record is from RNAcentral.
GAUGAACGCUGGCGGCGUGCCUAAUACAUGCCAGUCGAGCGAACAGACGAGGAGCUUGCUCCUCUGACGUUAGCGGCGGACGGGUGAGUAACACGUGGAUAACCUACCUAUAAGACUGGGAUAACUUCGGGAAACCGGAGCUAAUACCGGAUAAUAUAUUGAACCGCAUGGUUCAAUAGUGAAAGACGGUUUUGCUGUCACUUAUAGAUGGAUCCGCGCCGCGUUAGCUAGUUGGUAAGGUAACGGCUUACCAAGGCAACGAUGCGUAGCCGACCUGAGAGGGGGGUCGGCCACACUGGAACUGGGACACGGUCCAGACUCCUACGGGAGGCAGCAGUAGGGAAUCUUCCGCAAUGGGCGAAAGCCUGACGGAGCAACGCCGCGUGAGUGAUUAAGGUCUUCGGAUCGUAAAACUCUGUUAUUAGGGAAGAACAAAUGUGUAAGUAACUAUGCACGUCUUGACGGUACCUAAUCAGAAAGCCACGGCUAACUACGUG